UUGAGUAACGCGUGAGGAACCUGCCUCAAAGAGGGGGACAACAGUUGGAAACGACUGCUAAUACCGCAUAAGCCCACAGCUCGGCAUCGAGCAGAGGGAAAAGGAGUGAUCCGCUUUGAGAUGGCCUCGCGUCCGAUUAGCUAGUUGGUGAGGUAACGGCCCACCAAGGCGACGAUCGGUAGCCGGACUGAGAGGUUGAACGGCCACAUUGGGACUGAGACACGGCCCAGACUCCUACGGGAGGCAGCAGUGGGGAAUAUUGCACAAUGGGGGAAACCCUGAUGCAGCGACGCCGCGUGGAGGAAGAAGGUCUUCGGAUUGUAAACUCCUGUUGUUGAGGAAGAUAAUGACGGUACUCAACAAGGAAGUGACGGCUAACUACGUGCCAGCAGCCGCGGUAAAACGUAGGUCACAAGCGUUGUCCGGAAUUACUGGGUGUAAAGGGAGCGCAGGCGGGAGAACAAGUUGGAAGUGAAAUCCAUGGGCUCAACCCAUGAACUGCUUUCAAAACUGUUUUUCUUGAGUAGUGCAGAGGUAGGCGGAAUUCCCGGUGUAGCGGUGGAAUGCGUAGAUAUCGGGAGGAACACCAGUGGCGAAGGCGGCCUACUGGGCACCAACUGACGCUGAGGCUCGAAAGUGUGGGUAGCAAACAGGAUUAGAUACCCUGGUAGUCCACACCGUAAACGAUGAUUACUAGGUGUUGGAGGAUUGACCCCUUCAGUGCCGCAGUUAACACAAUAAGUAAUCCACCUGGGGAGUACGACCGCAAGGUUGAAACUCAAAGGAAUUGACGGGGGCCCGCACAAGCAGUGGAGUAUGUGGUUUAAUUCGACGCAACGCGAAGAACCUUACCAAGUCUUGACAUCCUCGACGCACAUAGAAAUAUGUGUUUCCUUCGGGACGCAGAGACAGGUGGUGCAUGGUUGUCGUCAGCUCGUGUCGUGAGAUGUUGGGUUAAGUCCCGCAACGAGCGCAACCCUUAUGGUCAGUUACUACGCAAGAGGACUCUGGCCAGACUGCCGUUGACAAAACGGAGGAAGGUGGGGAUGACGUCAAAUCAUCAUGCCCUUUAUGACUUGGGCUACACACGUACUACAAUGGCGUUAAACAAAGAGAAGCAAGACCGCGAGGUGGAGCAAAACUCAGAAACAACGUCCCAGUUCGGACUGCAGGCUGCAACUCGCCUGCACGAAGUCGGAAUUGCUAGUAAUCGUGGAUCAGCAUGCCACGGUAAAUACGUUCCCGGGCCUUGUACACACCGCCCGUCACACCAUGAGAGCCGGGGGGACCCGAAGUCGGUAGUCUAACCGCAAGGAGGACGCCGCCGAAGGGAAAACUGGUG
Molecule: ribosomal RNA, 1342 nt
Filed under: metagenome
Description: bacterial SSU rRNA
Rfam family: Bacterial small subunit ribosomal RNA
Source: RNAcentral